ACGGUAAAACGAGGGCUUAGCUGUCUCCUUUUUCAGGUCAAUGAAAUUGAUCUUCCCGUGCAAAAGCGGGAAUUAUAACAUAAGACGAGAAGACCCUGUGAAGCUUUAGACACCAAGACAGCCCCCGUCAAACCCUCCUAACAAAGAACUAAACAUCAAACCCUGUCUCAACGUCUUCGGUUGGGGUGACCGCGGAGAACCACUAAACCCCCGCAUGGAAUGGGGACACAACAUAUAAUUAUAUCCCCAAAGCCAAGAGCCUCCGCUCUAAUACACAGAAUUUCUGACCUUACAUGAUCCGGCAACGCCGAUCAAUGAACCAAGUUACUCCAGGGAUAACAGCGCCAUCCUCUUCCAGAGCCCCCAUCGACAAGAGGGUUUACGACCUCGAUGUUGGAUCAGGACAUCCUAAUGGUGCAGCCGCUAUUAAGGGUUCGUUUGUUCAACGAUUAACAGUCCUACGUGAUCU
Molecule: ribosomal RNA, 469 nt
Filed under: Johnius amblycephalus (bearded croaker)
Lineage: Eukaryota; Metazoa; Chordata; Actinopteri; Sciaenidae
Description: partial large subunit ribosomal RNA
Rfam family: Bacterial large subunit ribosomal RNA
Source: RNAcentral